CCUACGGGAGGCUGCAGUGGGGAAUUUUCCGCAAUGGGCGCAAGCCUGACGGAGCGACGCCGCGUGAGUGAAGAAGGCCUUCGGGUUGUAAAGCUCUGUCCUAUGGGAAGAAGGAAGUGACGGUACCAUAGGAGGAAGCCACGGCUAACUACGUGCCAGCAGCCGCGGUAAUACGUAGGUGGCAAGCGUUGUCCGGAAUUACUGGGCGUAAAGGGCACGCAGGCGGUAUUUUAAGUCGAAUGUGUAAACUACGGGCUUAACCCGUAAUUGGAUUCGAAACUGGAAUACUUGAGGGUAGGAGAGGACAGUGGAAUUCCUAGUGUAGCGGUGAAAUGCGUAGAUAUUAGGAGGAACACCAGUGGCGAAGGCGGCUGUCUGGCCUACAACUGACGCUGAGGUGCGAAAGCGUGGGUAGCAAACAGGAUUAGAUACCCGAGUAGUC
RNAcentral lists this ribosomal RNA (442 nucleotides) under uncultured Clostridia bacterium. Its description in RNAcentral is "bacterial SSU rRNA". It matches the Rfam family "Bacterial small subunit ribosomal RNA", at positions 338 to 795 of the family's 1533-position model. Lineage: Bacteria; Bacillati; Bacillota; Clostridia. The record is from RNAcentral.